AUCAGACACUUUAAUUUCAGGAAUAAUUAAAACCAAUAUGUCUGAAAAUACAGCCUCGGCAAGCUAAAACUUAGGUUUUUGUGUGAUGUUGCAUCCACACUGAUAGGUGUCACUAUUAAGUUCAAGAUCAUAGUUUAAACAAAAGAUCCAAGAAAAAAGAUAAAGUACAAUUUUGUUUACUCUGAAAUUGCAAAAAACUUACAUAUACAACUGAGAAAAAAAUAAUGAAAGAAAGAAAAAAACUUUUCAACCAUUGGUCUUUCAGUCUGGUAAGGCUAGUCAUUUGGCUGAGUUUUAUAGGGAUUUUGGGCACUUUUCAGCUGGCCUCUUAACUAAAUUUCAGUUUGGCCAGGCUGGAAGACCAUCUUACGAAACUGACAAGUUUUAAAAAGUGUUAUUCCAGCAGGGUUAAGACAGCUUCCUUUUCAUUUCAAUCAUAUACAUAUCCAUAGACAUAUUAAACCUGUAUUAAAUACUUGUUCCUUUUGAAAAAAAUAUGGCAUACAAAGACAGGGAAGUUGUAAACAUUCUGUUUUUAAUAGAAAUGUCUUAUUUCUUAAAAGGUCAGACAUUUUUGGAUAUAUUUUGUAAAAAUAAAAUGAAACAGAAAAAGAAUAAAAUGAAAAUGGAAAACAACAUGGAAUUGUAUGAUUUAGACGAUGUAGAUUUAGUGGUCUCAUAUACAAUACAAAUUCUUUUCAUCGCCAAAAGUGCAAAUUCUCCCAAAUUCUCCUGUACAUCUCAAUAGCUUCAACACACACUGACAGACAAUGGAAAGGAACUACAGAAUUAACGAAAAAAAGGGGGUUCUGCUGUCCAAGCCUGAGACAUUGGAAAUUUUCUGCCGCCCCAAAGUCAACAUGCCUUAUUUAAAUGAGAGUCCUGACUUAACCAAAGCACCCACUCUGCUGGAUUUUGGGGAGAGCCUGUCUCAACGUGCCCACAAAGUGCCUGCUGAUGCUCCAGGCCCCUCUCAGUGAGUCAUCCUGCUCUGAUGUAGCCAUAGGAUGUUGCUGCACCCUUUUUCACCAGCACAAGGAAGCAUAUAUUACUUUAAAAUAAAGGUCGCCGUUUUCAGGACACUUUUUUUUUCCCAAAACUUCAGCCAGUCAUUUGCAUUGUGAGAAAAGCGAUAGUUUUUAUAACUGAUCCCAUUUUGUAUCUAUAUACAUUGCAUUCAUUAAUGAUGCUCACAUUUCACACACUAAAAACUCCCUCCUUCUUACUCUACUACAGCUGAGUGCUUAUUUGGAAUUGGACACUAAUUUAUUGCUCAUCUUAUCACUCAGGUUGUUUCAGAUUUCUUUUUCUGUGGUCCCUUGGUAAAAGAAAUUAAAUAAGCUCUUUGUGUCUCCCCAACCUAAACUGCCUUUUUAAAUAGAUAUUUCUUUAUCCAUGUUGGAUAUCUUUAGUAAAGCUGUGCAAAUGCAUAAAAAAAGGUUUUCACUCUUAAUCUCUCCUUCUGUCGCUAAAACAAACAAACAAAUAAAAAAUUCCCUGCUUAAGUUGUUCACCAGCCGUUUGUAUAACAGUGCCCUCACUCAUCUGUUGCACACAGUUUCACUCUCCAACAGAAAGUCUCGAAAUGAAGCACAUUUAUCACAAUUCAUACUUUGGACUGAAACUUCUGGGUUCCAUCAAAUGCACAUUAGGAAAAAAUGGGUUUCUCAAUUAUAAUGCUCUUAAACAUCAAACAGCAUAUUUCCCCCUGCAAACUUAAUGCAGUGAGAAACCUGGAGUGAAGCUGAAGGAAGAUGUUACCCUAUCUAUCCACAAUAUAUGUCUAAUAAAGGGUCUCAUAAGAUUACAACCUAAUAUACACACACGCAUACAAAUAUAAAGUGUCAAGUACCCAAAAUAGUCAACUCAAAGGACAAGAAAAAAAUCAAAUGACAAAAUAUUAAGACAAUCCCCAAAAUCAGAGAGAAUAUAACGAAAGACUGGUAAUAAGGAAAAGCAGGCCUGGUUAGAUUUAACAUGUUUGUGCCCAAUGGCGAUCAGAUGAAGGUAGUGCUUUAGAAACACAGGAC
Molecule: long non-coding RNA, 2030 nt
Organism: Carassius auratus (goldfish)
Lineage: Eukaryota; Metazoa; Chordata; Actinopteri; Cypriniformes; Cyprinidae
Exons: 2
Source: RefSeq, a predicted model, not a curated record